This 375-nucleotide ribosomal RNA is filed under the name uncultured organism. RNAcentral's name for it is "partial 16S ribosomal RNA". It matches the Rfam family "Bacterial small subunit ribosomal RNA", at positions 527 to 896 of the family's 1533-position model. The record is from RNAcentral.
GGAGGGUGCAAGCGUUGUUCGGAAUUACUGGGCGUAAAGCGCACGUAGGUGGGUCUUUAAGCCAAUUGUGAAAGCCCAGAGCUUAACUCUGGAAUUGCAGUUGGAACUGGAGAUCUUGAAUGCUCAAGAGGAUGGCGGAAUUCCUGGUGUAGAAGUGAAAUUCGUAGAUAUCAGGAGGAACACCCGAGGCGAAGGCGGCUAUCUGGUGGUGCAUUGACACUGAGGUGCGAAAGCGUGGGGGGAGCAAACAGGAUUAGAUACCCUGGUAGUCCACGCCCGUAAACGAUGGAUACUAGGCGUUUGGAGUGUUAACCCUCUGAGUGCCGCAGCUCACGCAUUAAGUAUCCCCGCCUGGGGAGUACGGUCGCAAGGCUA